Molecule: ribosomal RNA, 411 nt
Filed under: uncultured prokaryote
Description: bacterial SSU rRNA
Rfam family: Bacterial small subunit ribosomal RNA
Source: RNAcentral
GUGUCAGCAGCCGCGGUAAUACGGAGGGUGCGAGCGUUGUCCGGAAUCAUUGGGUGUAAAGGGUGCGUAGGCGGGCUGCUAAGUCUGGGGUGAAAUCCUGCCGCUUAACGGUAGAAUGGCCCCCGAUACUGGCAGUCUUGAGUACAGAAGAGGUCGGUGGAAUUCGUAGUGUAGCGGUGAAAUGCAUAGAUAUUACGAAGAACACCAGUGGCGAAGGCGGCCGGCUGGUCUGUAACUGACGCUGAGGCACGAAAGCGUGGGGAGCGAACAGGAUUAGAUACCCUGGUAGUCCACGCUGUAAACGAUGUAUGCUAGGUGUCGGCCUUUCGGGGUCGGUGCUGCAGUUAACGCAGUAAGCAUACCACCUGGGGAGUACGUCGGCAACGAUGAAACUCAAAUGAAUUGACGGGG